GCUGAAAUAAAUGAAUGAAGGGUACCAAUUUAUUUUUGCUUUUAACGACCAUGUCACUUUGCACCAGAAGUCCGUAUUUACGUGGAAUCUAGCUGUUUAGCUAAAUUUGCAUAAGAUGUCACAUGAGCUUAUGUCAUUACUUUGCGUCCUUCGUUCAUCUGUAAACUUCUAACAUUUCAAAAAUAAUACUGAUAAACACUUGAAAAUAAGAACAGAAAAACAAACACAAUAUAAAUUUCAAAAAAUACGAAAGAUAAUGAGUUGUACAAGUUAUUAUCUUUUU
Molecule: long non-coding RNA, 283 nt
Filed under: Mytilus galloprovincialis (Mediterranean mussel)
Lineage: Eukaryota; Metazoa; Mollusca; Bivalvia; Mytilida; Mytilidae
Source: RNAcentral